GUUGAGGAUGACCCCCUUCUCUCGGACUGUAUCGGAAGCGCACACCUGCACAAACAGUGUGCAAGUGCUCCCCUUCCUCCGCCCUCACCGCACGUACACACGCCCACACACCAAAAGUGUCUCAUUUUGCUGUGUGCACAGUUCCCCUCUCGCCCCCACCUGAUCGUUCCCAACGUACGGUUCACGGAGUCCUGUGCCGGACGGUGCGCUCACGCGUACCUGUCAACGAGUGGAUGCGCAUCCUCCUUUGUUCCGUGGUGUUUUACGGGUUUACUUGAAUGGUGAUAACCCUGGUGUAGCACCUUGCGUGCGAGCGUGUGUGUGUGUGCAGCAGCGUUUGUCUUUGCAGAAAGAUCUUCUUUUCCCACGUUCUUUUUCCACCUGCCUCAUCUUUUCCUUUCUGGCUUUUCAUUGUUAUGCACAUUGACCGCCAUGUUCGCCUUCUAGUGGGGCGCGGAGCAGGAGCAAGGGUGACCAACACUCACAUGCACACGUGCUUGCACAACACCUCUUGUGCCGCCGCACGACAAUGGCACCCGCAUCGCUGCUGGCGCUUGUCUGAUAUGCAUUUUCGUUUUCUCAUCGCCAUCUUGAUCUCUCUCUCUUCCUCUCGUAGAUUCGGUUUUGCAGUAUUCUUCUGUUUCACACCUACUGGUUUCUGCCAUUCGCCUCUACUCCCUUCUUCUAUUUUGUCGACAGCACCCACACACACCCUCGUAGGCACACGCGGCAUCGGAGAGGGCCCCUCUCAUCUCUGGGAGGCGUCGUGUGUGCUUGCAUUGCGACCCGGGCUGCUGGCCACCCUCCCAACGCCUCAGCACGCGGCGUUGACGCGUUUCGCAGCUCGUUUGCUGUAUGCAUAUGCGUCUCCGAGACACGUGGGCGGGGAGUAGCGAACGUUGUAUCGUCGGCGAGCACAACGUGUACAGGAUGGAGCGACCGGGCCGCGUGCCGCUGUGCGAGACAAUAGGCCCCUGUGCCCUCUAUUCGGUUAGGUUUCUCUCUGAUCUCACGUCAUAUGCUCAUCCUACACCAUCACAAGCCGUGCAAACGUGCAGUGUGUGCGUAUGGGAUUCAGCGAUGCGAACCUCGUUGCAGCUGUG
RNAcentral lists this unclassified non-coding RNA (1103 nucleotides) under Leishmania donovani. RNAcentral describes it as "gene:unknown". Lineage: Eukaryota; Euglenozoa; Kinetoplastea; Trypanosomatida; Trypanosomatidae. The record is from RNAcentral.